This is a long non-coding RNA of Zea mays, 392 nucleotides long. RefSeq lists it as uncharacterized. The record is from RefSeq and is a predicted model, not a curated record. The transcript has 3 exons. Lineage: Eukaryota; Viridiplantae; Streptophyta; Magnoliopsida; Poales; Poaceae.
CACGGGAACAUCAAGUCAAGCAACAUCCUUCUCUCACAGGAACUCGACGCCUGCAUCACCGAGUUCGGCCUUGCCCAGCUCAUGUCCACGCCCCACGUCCACCCACUGCACACGGAAUGGCUUACCUUCACUCCGUGUGUCUCAAUCGAGGGGGAGUCACCAACGAACGACCCACAAUUGGAGUUUGAGCAGGACUAGAGAGGAGACGUCAGUUCUUCCUCCUCCGCUCAGUGCGACCAUUGUCCCUGUCCCCCAACUCUGAACUCUUAGAACAAUGAUGAUCACUGCCACUCCCCGCUCAUUUUUUCUGAAGGGGAAAUAUCCAUCUUCUUGUUGUUUUGUACUGUUGGAUACUUUAGCAUAUUUCUCAUACUACUAGGAGUGUAGGUAAG